GACGAACGCUGGCGGCGUGCUUAACACAUGCAAGUCGAACGGAAAGGCCCUGCUUUUGUGGGGUGCUCGAGUGGCGAACGGGUGAGUAACACUUGAGUAACCUGCCCUUGACUUUGGGAUAACUUCAGGAAACUGGGGCUAAUACCGGAUAGGAGCUCCUGCUGCAUGGUGGGGGUUGGAAAGUUUCGGCGGUUGGGGAUGGACUCGCGGCUUAUCAGCUUGUUGGUGGGGUAGUGGCUUACCAAGGCUUUGACGGGUAGCCGGCCUGAGAGGGUGACCGGCCACAAUGGGAAUGAGAUACGGCCCAGACUGCAACGGGAGGCAGCAGUGGGGAAUAUUGCACAAUGGGCGGAAGCCUGAUGCAGCAACGCCGAGUGCGGGAUGACGGCCUUCGGGUUGUAAACCGCUUUAGCCUGUGACGAAGCGUGAGUGACGGUAAUGGGUAAAGAAGCACCGGCUAACUACGUG
RNAcentral lists this ribosomal RNA (468 nucleotides) under uncultured bacterium. RNAcentral's name for it is "partial 16S ribosomal RNA". It matches the Rfam family "Bacterial small subunit ribosomal RNA", at positions 28 to 507 of the family's 1533-position model. The record is from RNAcentral.